This is a long non-coding RNA of Rosa chinensis, 1622 nucleotides long. RefSeq lists it as uncharacterized. NCBI's taxonomy places the organism in Eukaryota, Viridiplantae, Streptophyta, Magnoliopsida, Rosales, Rosaceae. The transcript is spliced from 4 exons. The record is from RefSeq and is a predicted model, not a curated record.
CUAUGAAUUGUUACAUUCUUCCUCACGGUUUUUGUGAUGAGUUACACCGUGUGCCCAAUUUUGAUGGGGUGAUACUAAGGAUAAGCGUACGUGCUAUACAUUUGCUUGCUUAGGAUGAGUUGUGUAAUCUAAAGAGCAGGGUGGUUUGGGGUUCAGACAUUAAUUUGUAUGCCUUUAAUCUUGCAUUGUUGGCUAAACAUGGAGAGACUCAUUCAAAAUUCGGGUUUCUUUGGUGAGUUGUUUGUAUAGAGCCAUGUAUUCCGCACUUUGUUAUUUUUGUCUGCGUUUUGCUUAUAAGCAGGAGAUGGAGAAGCGUUUGGUAACCCAGCUUCUUCCAAAAGCUGAUGCGGCUUCCGUCGAAAAGUAGAAGCGGCCUCACCCCUCCUUUUAGAAGCUAGAAGCCAGGAUAUCACUGUGGCGCUGGUGACCGUAGAUUAAUGAAGUUUCGAAAAUACCGGCCUCUAUCCUCCCUUGGUUGAAGCAAUUACUCAAUUGCCAUGAAACUCUUCCUUGUAUCUAGAGUUCUAGACGCUGCAUCAAUCUUUCUCCCUCUCAUCACAGACGCCGCAUCAAACACACCCUCCCUCUGACGCCGCCUUAGCCUCUCAUCACGAUUUUGGUUUGGGAGUCGAAGGCUCAAUCAAGGCUGCUUGGAAAUUUGAUUCAGUAGCAGAUUUACUGCAGAUGAUGGCUAUAGUUCAAACAAGCAAUUUAAUUGCAGUGUUCCUGUAGUCUGGUUUUGCUCUGACAUUUUGCCCAAGGCUCGCGGUUCUGCAUAAGUGCAUAGUAAUAUCACAGGCAUGAUUGGAUGGUAAUUGGAUCUGGAUGUAUAUGUAUUGAAGCAAAUCGAGAACUUGCAUGGUCUAGAGGAUUUAAAAUGAUUUGGGCCAUGAUGCUUUGAGUUCCACGGCCAUAUCAAAUGUUUGUAGGGGACAUGUAUUGUAUGCAGAUACAUUCUAUGCAAAACGAUAUGAAGACAUUCCAGUUUUGGGGCAAAGGCCAACAGAUGAAUGAACUAUGGACUCUUAUAACCAUCAUGUAGUUUUUGUAUGGAAGGAAAGUUGAAGUAUGCAAUUAUGCAUUAGUUGCUAGUGGGAAGGAUUUGGAAGAAACAGGGAGUGAGGAUGGUGGGCUUUUGGAUCUCAGUGAAGAUGAUUUUUUUCUAAGUGGAAGCUCUAGUGAUGAAGCAAAUGCAGAUGAUGAAUGGACAGAUAAGAGUACCAGGGAACAGGCUUCCAGUACUUCUAAGAAAGCAGCAUCUGGCAUGUCCAGUGAUGAGAGAAAUCAGAGACAGAUUUCAGCUAGAGUUUCAGCCUGCCCCUCAGCAUCAAGUAAUUCUCACUCAAGUUCAGUACCUGCUCAAUCAAGAUUCAGUCCUUCAUCAAGCAAAAGUUCUCCAAAACAUGCUGAAAUGUCUACAUCCAGCAAUACAUCAAGUAGCAGAAGUGAAAUGAAGCUAGAUGAUACUGAUUUCGCCAAUUUUAAGCUUUGUUUCCAAAGUGGGAACCAAUGUUGAUGGACUCGUGAUGAUCUUUUAUUUUAUAGUUUUUAGUUUUGAUCCUUGAUUUGAGCUUGAUGUAGAAGCACAAGUAUUCUGUGCUAGUUAUGUAUGGCAUCAAAUA